UUGAUCUCAAAUCAGGUAGGACUACCCGCUGAACUUAAGCAUAUCAAUAAGCGGAGGAAAAGAAACUAACAAGGAUUCCCCUAGUAACUGCGAGUGAAGCGGGAAGAGCUCAAAUUUAAAAUCUGGCGUGCCUCUGGUCGCUCGAGUUGUAGUCUGGAGAAGUGUUUUCCGUGUUGGACCGUGUAUAAGUCCCUUGGAACAGGGCGUCAUAGAGGGUGAGAAUCCCGUCUUUGACACGGACUACCAAUGCUUUGUGAUUCRCUCUCAAAGAGUCGAGUUGUUUGGGAAUGCAGCUCAAAAUGGGUGGUAAAUUCCAUCUAAAGCUAAAUAUAGGCGAGAGACCGAUAGCGAACAAGUACCGUGAGGGAAAGAUGAAAA
Molecule: ribosomal RNA, 378 nt
Filed under: uncultured Thelephoraceae
Lineage: Eukaryota; Fungi; Basidiomycota; Agaricomycetes; Thelephorales; Thelephoraceae
Description: eukaryotic LSU rRNA
Rfam family: Eukaryotic large subunit ribosomal RNA
Source: RNAcentral